Non-coding RNA from Equus caballus (horse), 9955 nucleotides. NCBI's taxonomy places the organism in Eukaryota, Metazoa, Chordata, Mammalia, Perissodactyla, Equidae. The record is from RefSeq and is a predicted model, not a curated record.
UCCGCGGCGGCCGCUACCAAUAAAGUUGUUGUUCUGCCAACAUGGCGGCGCCCAUGGUGACUGGCGGGGCCGUGUUCGCCUAAAGUGGGAACUAACGCGUAAGGCGCCUUAGGCCAGAGCCUGUGAGCAGGGCCUUCCCACCUUCUGAAGAAUGGCUUCUCCUUGGCAGAGACUGGGUUUUUAUGCCUCUCUUCUGAAAAGGCAGCUAAAUGGUGGGCCAGAUGUCAUCAACUGGGGAAAGAGAGUGAUUCCAAGGCGUACCAGAGGUAUUUACAGUGCCACGGGAAAGUGGACGAAAGAGUAUACAUUGCAGACAAGAAAGGAUGUCGAGAAAUGGUGGCAUCAACGAAUAAAAGAACAGGCCUCCAAAAUUUCAGAAACCGAUAAAUCAAAGCCCAAGUUUUACGUGCUUUCCAUGUUCCCAUAUCCUUCUGGCAAGCUGCACAUGGGCCAUGUGCGUGUGUACACCAUCAGCGACACCAUUGCACGGUUCCAGAAAAUGAGAGGGAUGCAGGUCAUCAACCCCAUGGGCUGGGAUGCUUUUGGACUGCCUGCCGAAAAUGCUGCCAUUGAGAGGAAUCUUCAUCCAGAAAGUUGGACGCAAAGUAAUAUUAAACACAUGAGGAAACAGCUUGAUCGACUGGGCCUGUGCUUCAGCUGGGAUAGGGAAAUAACUACAUGUUUACCAGAUUACUACAAAUGGACUCAGUACCUCUUUAUUAAACUCUAUGAAGCUGGACUGGCCUAUCAAAAGGAGGCCUUGGUUAACUGGGACCCAGUGGAUCAGACAGUGCUUGCCAAUGAGCAGGUGGAUGAACAUGGCUGUUCUUGGCGUUCUGGAGCAAAGGUGGAACAGAAGUACCUCAGACAAUGGUUUAUUAAGACAACUGCUUAUGCAAAGGCCAUGCAGGAUGCGUUGGCAGACCUUCCGGAAUGGUAUGGAAUAAAAGGCAUGCAGGCCCACUGGAUCGGGGACUGUGUGGGCUGCCAUCUGGACUUCACAUUAAAGGUUGAUGGGCAAGUCACGGGGGAAAAGCUGACCGCCUACACAGCCACCCCAGAGGCCAUUUACGGCACUUCCCAUGUCGCCAUCUCUCCCAGCCACCGACUCCUCCACGGGCACAGCUCUCUGAAGGAUGCCUUUCGGAAGGCACUUGUCCCCGGCAGAGAUUGCCUCACGCCCGUGACGGCUGUGAACAUGCUCACCCAGCAGGAGGUCCCUGUUGUUAUCUUGGCCAGAGCUGACUUUCAGGGCUCUCUGGAUUCAAAAAUAGGAAUCCCCAGCACCAGCUCAGAGGACACCAUCUUAGCCCAAACCCUGGGCUUGUCCUACUCUGAAGUCAUUGAAACUUUGCCAGAUGGCACAGAGAGACUGAGCAACUCUGCGGAGUUCACAGGUAUGACCCGGCAGGAUGCGUUUCUGGCCCUGACUCAGAAAGCCCGGAGGAAGAGAGUGGGUGGAGACGUGACAAGUGAUAAACUGAAGGACUGGCUGAUCUCGCGGCAGCGCUACUGGGGCACGCCAAUCCCCGUGGUCCACUGCCCAGCCUGCGGCCCCGUGCCGGUGCCUCUGGAGGACUUGCCGGUGACCUUGCCCAGCGUCACGUCUUUCACCGGCAAGGGAGGCUCCCCACUGGCCACAGCUUCGGAGUGGGUGAACUGCUCCUGCCCUAGGUGCAAGGGAGCAGCCCAGAGAGAGACAGACACGAUGGAUACCUUUGUUGAUUCUGCUUGGUACUACUUCAGAUACACCGACCCUCAGAAUGCUCACAGCCCUUUUAGCGCAGCUUUGGCCGAUUACUGGAUGCCUGUGGAUUUGUACAUUGGCGGGAAAGAACAUGCUGUCAUGCACUUGUUCUAUGCGAGAUUCUUUAGUCAUUUUUGCCAUGAUCAAAAAAUGGUCAAACACAGAGAGCCUUUUCAUAAGCUGCUGGCUCAAGGCCUUAUCAAGGGGCAAACAUUUCGCCUACCGUCUGGACAGUAUGUACAGAGAGAGGAAGUAGAUCUCACAGGUUCUGUUCCUGUUUAUGCAGAAACGAAAGAGAAGUUGGAGGUGACGUGGGAGAAGAUGAGCAAAUCCAAACACAAUGGGGUGGACCCCGAGGAGGUGGUGGAGCAGUACGGCCUCGACACCAUCCGGCUCUACCUGCUCUUUGCCGCCCCUCCUGAGAAGGACAUCUUGUGGGAUGUGAAGACUGACGCUCUCCCUGGGGUGCUGAGAUGGCAGCAGCGUCUGUGGUCCUUGGCAACCCGAUUCAUUGAGGCCAGGGCUUCUGGGAAGGUUCCCAGGCCUCAGCUGCUGAGCGAUGAGGAGAAAGCCGAGGCCAGGAAGCUCUGGGAAUACAAGAACUCGGUCAUCUCUCAGGUGACCGCCCAUUUCACAGAUGACUUCUCGCUGAAUUCUGCGAUUUCUCAUCUGAUGGGACUCAGCAGCGCCCUCCUGCAAGCUUCCCAGAGGGUUGUUCUCCACAGCCCAGAGUUUGAAGAUGCCCUGUGUGCCCUGAUGGUGAUGGCCGCUCCCAUGGCCCCUCACAUAACCUCGGAGCUCUGGGCAGGCCUGGCACUGGUGCCGAGGAAGCUCUGCGCCCACUAUGCCUGGGACGCCGGCGUGCUGCUGCAGGCCUGGCCGGCCGUGGACCCGCACUUCCUCCAGCCGCCCGACGUCGUGCAGAUGGCGGUUCUGUCAGGGUAUCUUGCUGCCUGUUGGGGGUGUGCCCCAGUUAGAAAAACCUACUCCUUUUGUUGUGUGAAGUGGAGUCCAAAGAAGCAGAAAGCAGCCUCCGUGAAGCUGUCGCCUGUACCAUCACCCAGUGUGGGGAGGCGUGGGAAGCUCUCUCUCAUCUCUCAGCCUUGGGAUCUUGCAACCAGAGGACACAAGAACAGAAGGUAACAGUCCCUCCAUGGAACUCUCCUGUUCUUGGUGGACAAAGCAAUAUGGCGACCAAGAGCGUGAGCUCUGGAGUCAGCCAGACCUAGGUUCUGUGAUUAUGUCACUUAAAACCUCCAUGACCUAGGCAAGCCAUGGACCCUCUCUGAACCUUUGUUUCCUCAACUGUAAAACAGGAGUAAAAAUAAUAAUGCCUUGGGGUGUGAGGAUCAAGAGAGACAAUGUGUGGAAAGCACGUGGCACCUAGUAAGCUCUCAAUAAAUGAGAACCGCUUAGGAUGAUUGAUCUUGCCUGGGUAAGAAGAGGCUAAAGGUCUAGAGAGGGAGUCUCUUGGGUCAGAGAGAAGGGAAAGUUUAGAAAAAGAUGCAUCCCACCUGCAAAUGUCAAUCCUGGCCAUCCCAGGCCUGCGGAGGAAAACAUUUAGUGAGGAAACAUGGGGGGAUUUUGAUCCUGUUGGCAGAACCAGGCUUAUCAUAUGGUAUUUUCACCUCAUGCCCUGAAACGUUAGUAUUCUCUACUCCCCAGCUUCUGGUUCCAAGCCUCCUGCUUAGUUUCUGGGAGGCUCAUCCGUGUGACAGUGAUUUCUCUUUGGUGCUGGAGAUACUCUUUUCCUUAAGUGGUGGCCCAGGCCAUGAAAGACCUGAGAAGGGUCUUGGAAGCUCCCAAACCUCCUUCAAGCCCCACUGUGGCCAUCUACUCCUGUCCCAGGACGUGUAGAAUUGUGACAUGGGAAGGAAUGGAGCAAAGGAUGAAAAGUCAAGAGCUAGGAACCAUAGGGGUGAGUCCAAUCUAAGCCUCCAGGUCAAGUCUGGCUUGAGUGUCCUGCCUGUGGUGCCCAGAGUAGGAUCUCCAGUGACCUCUGCAUCCCUCCCUCAACAGCAGUUAAUGGAAGGAGCGUUUGGGGCUUGCUAGGGGAGCCUCUUGACUGAGUGGAGCAGCCAUCAUUCUUGUUGCCUCUGCUGCCAUGGCUUGGGGUUUACUGAUUGAUGGCCUGAGGCUGCUGGGAGCAGAUGGCCCAGUGGUAUGAGCUGGAGGAGGUUUGGAGCCAAGUGGAGAAGUCCACUAGAGACUCUUGCAGACUAUUCGUGGCCUGGGGCCCCUUGGGAGGCCAAUACUCAGACAAGAUGGCCUCCAAACCAAGAACUGAGAAUCAGAAGUUUUCAUUUAUGUGUGGUUUGGUUCCUGAACUGAGCUGCAGGGGACGGGUUAUGAGGCCACUAGUGCACACAGACUUGCUGCAGCAUGCAACCGGGCCAACAACACAUCCUGCUGGGCUGUAGUUGGUCGUUAGGGACCAGAGUCCAGAAAAGGCUUGAUUCCUGCACCAGCAGGCCUGGCCACAGCCUGCUGCCCUGCUCAGUAGGUUGCCCCACUAGGAGAGACAGGAAAGGGCAGCCAAGGCAAUCCAGGCAUUUGGAGCCCCAGGCACCAGUCAAGGGGCUUUGCUGCUGCUCUUGAAUCCUCAUGUUGAUGUUACAGAGUGGGAAUUAUGACCCACGUCCUGUAAAUAAGGAAACUGAAGCCUAGAAAAUAGAGUGAAUUACCGAAGUCACUGGUAUUGACCUCUACAGCCAGGAUUCAGCCCCAGGUCUGCCUUUCUGUGAACACCUCUUGCUUUCUCCACAGCAGCAACCUGCCUUCUGGGAGGGAAGAAGUGGAGGGGUCUUGGGAAGAAAUACAGCUGGUUCUUGUUCCUUCUCUCCGGGAAUUCUGAACUGGAGCUCUGGCAUGUGUGUGGCUCCACAGACUUGUCCCUCUUGGAGGAACAGGACUGGGCGUUUGUACCCUGAAUCUGCCUGUCAUUGGCUGAGGGUCACUUCUGGGAUUAGGGGGGUAAUAACUUCCUGGGCAGCUCAGGGUGAAGGGGCGCCCAUUGGCUCAGGGAAAGUUUUCCAGAAAAGGACACUGAGCUGUCAGCAAGCAAUGUGCAGAGCAGCUGGGACCAGGCACAUUGACCUGUGAAGAUGAUCUGGGAAGAGCACCCAAGGCAACCUCCACAAGGAGAGAAGGCCAGAGUCCAGGGGUGAGGAAGUGCACUAGACGGAAGCCAGAGUCACAAGAGAAGUGGAGCGUGCAUGGAGUCUAGACAAGCCGAACGGCCUCUGGCCCACCCUAUGCCCAUGGGCCAUGGCUCGGGCGGUGCCGCUGGGUUCAAAGGUAGAUAAGACCAAACCAGAAGGCAUUAUCAUCCCCCUUUUGCAGAUGACGAAACCAUGGCUCGAACAGGCUGUGACUCACUUGAGACCCAGGCAGUAAGUGAUGAAGUAUGAUGAUUCCCAGUCUCUGCUCAUCCCCUCAGCGCCCCUCCCCCUACUUUGUAGGAAAAGCCCAGUGCUACCACCGGGCAGAAUUUAGCUCAGGGGGUAAAUUUUUUCAUAAUGAUGAGCCGCACCCCAGUCUAUGGAUCAAGGAAGGGCAUAGGGGUAGACAAAAUGUGAAGUUUGCCCUCGCCCUUCUUCCUGUGAGAAGAGCGAGCAGAAAACAUCUGUUUCGUGGGCUGGGUCCCUGUCUGACGCUCCCAGGGUGGGCGGCUGAAGGCUCUCAUCCAAGCUGAUGAGUUUGGAGAUUGGAAUCUGGGGUGACCAACAAUGAGCAAGGGGGGAAUGCCCCCAGGGAGAGUGGGUGGGUGGUGACUGUGCUGGCAGGGAGGGGAGAGCCUGGAGCAGCCAGGGAAGGGCCAGUCCUUUGGGCAGAGGCCUCAGAUCCAAGGGUGGGGCAACACUUGUCCAGAAGGGUUGACCUCACUCGGGGCCUCCUCCAUCACAUCUCUAGAGCUGCCCACGUGAAGGAGGGGCCGCAGAGAUAAUGAGGCCCUGGGGGUAGGUGGUGGCCAGGCUGCUGGAGUCAUGGGCCUGGAACCCAGCACUUAUGACUCACCUCCGCAUGCCUCAAGCCCUGACCUUGGAGUCCAGUUCCAGGAAGAGCACGCCUAUGCCAGACACCCAGUGUGUAGGGUCACUGUCUGUGAUUCCCCGAGAUCAGCAACGAUAAUAAUAGUUCCCAUUUCGUGAGGACUAAUCAUGUACGAGGCCCUGUUCUAAGUGCUUUACCACAGAAGGGGUCUUGCUCAAGACCACACACAUGAGAAGAUGGCAGAGCCGUGAUUCCGAUGCUGCUGCACCAUAUUGCUUCCCAAAGGCCUUUAUGGAAAACAGCCCUCAACCCUCCUGGAUUUUCAGACAGUCCUGAUUUCUGGCUUUCUCUCCAAUUGUCCCCCAAAUACCUAGAACCGGUGAGUACAUCCCUGGUGUUCCGAGGCAGCCACUUCAGUGUGUGCCUGGGGAGGGUCAGGGCUCUCUCUGUGCUUGGGACUGGCCAAUCCCAAGGAGCCCUCACCUCUGACAGGCAGACAGAGUCCCCUUUGGGCUCCAUCACUGGGCCCUAGAAGUCAGGGAGUCAACUUUGCUCAACCCCACAUUCUGUUAGGGAAAUCCCGUGGGAGGGGAGCUGGGCCUGCAGUCACAGGGAGAGCUUCUUGGCCUCACGGCAGCCCAGCCAGUGUCUUCCCCAGACCAGUCUUCCCAUGAGCAAUGAAAGAAGCUCAUCUGGGAUUGCUGAGGGGUAGCCCACCCCUGGCCCCACCCAAAGGAGAACUCACCCACCCACCGUACCUGCACAGCUGCACCCUCAUGGGCUGCGCUCAGAACCAGGAGGAGAACCGGCCCUGAGGAGGGACUCCCUUCCUCAGACACGGAGGUGAGGGGGAGUGUGAGGAGGGUGUGAUGGGCACUGUGGGGUCAAUAGGGGAGGCAGGGCCACCCACAGAGAGAUGUCAUCCACUGGGUCUGGCCUGUCAUCCAUCAGGAAAAAGGCAAGGUCCCCUUCCACUAGAAACAGGGCCAGGGUGGGCCAGAAGGGCUUUGUCAGGUGGGCUCCAGAGGGGGGCUCACUGUCAGUGGCAGGACACAAGGGCAGCCUCUGCACAGAGACAGGCUGAGAGAAAUAGCUCAGAAGAGAGAACCGAAGCCAGGUGUCACUGAACAGCUCCAUUAUUAGUUAGCAGCUAAUCUCUUAGUUGUCAGUUAACACCUUAGUUUCCAGGCAAUAUCUUAGUUUGUUACUACUAUUUUAAUUGACUACUAUUAUGGACCGAAUGUUUAUAUCCCUCAAAAUGCAUAUGUUGAAACUCUACCCUCCACUUGAUGGCCUCUGGGAAGUAAUUAGGAUUAGAUGAGGUCGUGAGGGUUCCAUCCUCAUGGAUGGGAUUGGUGCCCUUAUAAGAGUCACGAGAGAGCUUGCUUCAUCGCUCAGCUCCCUGACAUGUGAGGACCCUAUGACAAGUCAGCAGUCUGCAAGCCCGAAGAGGGCCCUCACUGGAACUCAACUGCUCUGGCCCCUGAUCUCAGACUUCAGCCCCCGGAACUGUGAGGAAUACAUUUCUGUUGUUUAUAAGUCACCCCAUCUAUGCUACUUUGUUUCAGCAGCCCAAACUAAGACAACUGUUAACAUCUUAGUCAUCAGCAAACAAUCCAAGUUAUCAGCAAACAUAUUAGGUGUCAGUUCCCCUCUUAGCGAGUAGGAGUAGAGUAGACCUCUUAGCUGACAGUUACUUCAUUUAUUGCCUGCGACACCUCAAUGGUGCACUAAUACCUCAGUGGCCUGCUAAUAUCGUGAAUGUCUACUAAUCAUCUUUAGCAAUAAAAAGUUUUUAAUUAGCAGCUAAUUGGUAAUGCAACUAUAACAUGUAAACCCCCAAACCUCAGUGGUCUCACACAGCAAACUUUAUUUCUCAUUCCCAUAAGUCUUAUCCUUUGGAGAAGGGAGCCGGGGAGGAAGUUCACUCUGUUCCAGCUUGAUGGAGGAACCCAGGCUGAUGGAGGCCCCACUGUCUUCAACCCUUGGCUUUCAAGGUCGCCCUGGACAUUGAUAUCCAGGUUGCAGACGAGGGGGAGAGAGAGACGGAAUUUCAUAAGGAGAUUUUUAUGGGCCAGGUCUGGAAGUGGCAUAUAUCACUUCUGCCCUAUUUCUCUUGGCCAGAAUUUGGUCAGCUGGCCUCAGAGGGGCCUGGGAAAUGUGGUCCGGGUUGGGCAGCCACUUCUCAGCAACAACUCUGCAUGAGGGAAGGGGAACCCAAACCUGUGGGCGGCCAGCUGCCUCUGCCACCUGAGCAAUCUUCAUUUCCAAACUCUUGUUGUCAGUGUACAUCUAAGUUAUCUUCUAAAUAUCUCAGUUGUCUGCUAACACCUGGGUUUACAGACGUCUCCUGAGUGACAACUGUUUACCCUCUAAAUCUGUGAAAGCUCCUAAUUGUGGCUCUCAAACAGCUUGUGGUCACAGACUGGAUCAUCGCUUACCCUGCCGAUCCCGCCCUGCCCUCUGUCCUGGACUCCGGGCCGCACUCCACAGAGAUGCGUGAAAUCACAGACCUGCCUUAUGCCAUUUUAUGAGCGACCAAUUUUUACUCCAAAGCCACACCGUGAGGAGGUUAACAAGCUGGGGCCCCACCUGACAGAUGAGCAAACUGAGGCUUGGAGAGUCAGAUAACCUGCCUCAGGUCGCCAGCUAGUAAGUGUCUGGAGAAUGUCAGCAUUCAGAGGGCACGGACUUUUGUGGACCACCACAUAUCCCCGCUCCAGCCCCAGAAGCACAUGCAGGUCCUCCGGGAACAGCUCUCCACCUCCCCUCCUGACCUUCCUGUGGGCUUGCCUCUCCCCAGAACGCCUUUCCCACCGCGCCUGGUUAGCUCCUUGGGUGCCUGGAGCAAUCACCGGAGGGGUGUAGGCCGUAAAGCAGCAUGUCAGAGCCGCAUUUUGCUGGCAGUAGUGUGCCUGGUGAAUUGGUCGUAAGGAGACUGACGAGGAGGCAUUGGCCAAUGCCCAGUCCAAGCUGGGGAAGAGCUUGCCCAGGGCCUGCCACAGCGCGGACCUCGGGGAUGGCUGGAGCUCUGGGACAGGGCGGGGCCAUGGAAUGAGAGAGGAGAGACAGGCCAAAGUGACAUGUCCCAGGGGAGGAGGUGAGAAGGACUAUGAUGUCCAGCACAUCACCAGGGUAGAAAGUGCUGCCUUGAAGGGAGAGCCAGGAGGGCGAGUUCAUUCAGGCGGCCCAGAGCCUACAGGCUGAGGGGACCUGGGUUGGAAUGGUCGCUGUGCACCCUUGAGCCACCACAUCUGAUUCCUGCUUUGUAUCCUCUGGAGGAGAUGAGACCCCCAGGAUCUCAAGAUAGGGUGGACUGUGAACAUGUCCAUUCCAGUGGGCACGUCCCAGGGCCGGCCAUUGGAGUGUGAUUGCUGACGCGGGUCGCUGGUGUGCCUCACCCCACCGCCCGUGGAGAGGCCUCUGCGGGGGCGUGCCCGUUUGCCUCCCUGGGGCCUCCCUCCCUGCCGAAAUGAGGGACUGUGAUGAGGCGGGUGGGGGAAGGGCCCAACUCUACGCCUCUGCAUUUGUCCAUUUCAAGGCCCGUGGGACUUGUGGGCUGCAGAGGCCCUGGAGGUCUUCAGCCCAGGGAUGCUCACUUUCCUCCCAGCCCCUCCCUCAGGGAACUGCCCAGCUCGAGAGAGAAGAAGCCCUUUUUGGAGGUGUUGGGGUGAAGUUUUGCAGCAUCUCUUUGCAGUCGGCAUCACACACAGGGAGCUGUGCGCUCUGUGGCUGGCUGCACAGUUGUUGGGAGCAUGGGCUGCCGCGGAGCCGGCGACCCAGCCCCACUGCGCGUCUGCGGCUGGGUAACCCAUUUCACAUUCUCAGGCGCACGGUUCUCCGCAGCCUAACAUCUGAAGGCAAGAUGUGUUCUCAAAGGCGACAGCUGUGAUGUUGUCCCUGCAAAUCCUGCACGGUGGACAUCAGCAACUGGGAAGAAAUCCCAGAGACAAUAGUGGAGGGCCGUGCUGGGACGUGCCACCUCCCUGGGGCUUGUGGUGGCCCAGAGGGUGGUGUGGGAGACACGCGCUUGCAUGACAGGUGAUUCAGAAGAGUUGGCUUCUGAGCGUGAGCAAGUUUUACCAAUACUUUAACCAAUCUAUUUUACUCACAUUUUCCUUUUUAGUUAUGCGCCUCAGUGAUAUGAUAAAAUUUAUCUAAGUAAAUCAGAAAGAUAUAAUUUAUCAAGCACAAAAUUAAAAGUCUAAGUAAAGA